This 76-nucleotide ribosomal RNA is filed under the name Alcaligenaceae bacterium. RNAcentral describes it as "partial 23S ribosomal RNA". Lineage: Bacteria; Pseudomonadati; Pseudomonadota; Betaproteobacteria; Burkholderiales; Alcaligenaceae. The record is from RNAcentral.
UGUGGAAGUGCAGUAAUGCACGUAGCUAACCAGUACUAAUUGCCCGUGCGGCUUGAUCCUAUAACCUUGUAGGUUA